Non-coding RNA from Camellia sinensis, 1030 nucleotides. NCBI's taxonomy places the organism in Eukaryota, Viridiplantae, Streptophyta, Magnoliopsida, Ericales, Theaceae. The record is from RefSeq and is a predicted model, not a curated record.
CACUACAGGAAAAAAGGGUUUAGGCGGCGUUUUUUUAACGACGCAUUUUAAAACGUCACUUUUUUAAUAUUUAACGACGUUUAUAAAACGUCGCCUAUUUAUUUAACAAAACGAUGCCGUUUUAUAAUAUGAAAAACGCCUUCAAAUGUGUUGUGCCUCACACGCUUGGUGUCCCCCUCUUUUCAAACCCUAAUUUUGAAUCUAAGACUCAGCUAAGACCCAAAUCUGGAGCGCUCUCUCUCUCUCUAAUAAAUCUCAGAGCGAUUUCGAAGCUCCACCGCUUGUUCAUUCUUAGAGCGAGGUAGCGAGAACCAACGAAGGUGAGCUCCACUGUCUCUCUUUCUCUCUAUCUCUCUCAACCCUCUCUAAACCCUUAUCAGAGCGAUUCAGAGAUUCAUCUCAAUGAUUUCAUCACAGAGAUUCAGAGCGAUUUCAUCUCAGUGAUUUCAUCGCAGAGAUUCAGAUCGGUCUCCACCAUCUGCACCAUCGUCUACUAAGAAUGCUUGGUUAUGAGGGGAUGGAAGUAAUUAAUCCUGAGGGAGGCAAAGAUGAUGCUGAAGAGGAAGCUCAGAGAGGAAGAUGGAAGCAGGAGUUGCAACAGGUACUCAAAUUGUAGAAGAGGAGGAGUUGUAGAAUAUCGCCAAUCCCACUUCCUUUAGACACUCUUGGAUGGCCUUUUCUCGGCGAAACCAUCUCCUUCAUCUCCUGUGCUUACUCAGACCACCCUGGGACCUUCAUGGACCGACGUCGUCACAUAUGAGGCUGCUACCAUAUUGUUGCCGCAGACCCCUGACAAGAUGAGGGAGUUAGUCGAGCUCACGUUUUACAAGCCGCCCAAGAUCCUGCCUUCAUGCAUCCUCACCGAUUUCAUUCGAAUGGCUUGUUAAGCUUUUUGUAGCAAGUGGGACAUCUUGGUACCCAGCAUAUUUGGAGACUUUUUGUAAAAAAACGCUACUUCCAUACUCAUGAUUUGGGCCAGAAAACUGGUUUGCUAAACCUUUCCAUUAAAAGGAUCUGGAAGAUCAUUUAU